CCGCCUCUGCCGCCGGAAAUCUCCACCGAAGUCCUUUUUCCCUGGGGCUGAGUUGUGGUUCUUGCAUGCUGAGUUCGGUACCCGUGCAUGCGACAUCAAGUUGCCGCGUCGUCAACGGAGUCACCGCCGUUCUAUUUCUUGGAUACUCGUAGAUUCAGUAAGCCUUUCCCUGUUCUGAUUUCUUUUAGUCACUAUUCUGCUAUAUGUUUAUAAGGUCCUUGCAACGUUAAUGCUUUAGGUUUGAGUUCGGUUCUUACGUGCCGUGGUUAAAGUUCUGCUGUUU
Arachis ipaensis is the source of this 283-nucleotide non-coding RNA. Lineage: Eukaryota; Viridiplantae; Streptophyta; Magnoliopsida; Fabales; Fabaceae. The record is from RefSeq and is a predicted model, not a curated record.